This 540-nucleotide ribosomal RNA is filed under the name uncultured bacterium. Its description in RNAcentral is "bacterial SSU rRNA". It matches the Rfam family "Bacterial small subunit ribosomal RNA", at positions 355 to 896 of the family's 1533-position model. The record is from RNAcentral.
UGAGGAAUAUUGGUCAAUGGGCGCAAGCCUGAACCAGCCAAGUAGCGUGCAGGAAGACGGCCCUAUGGGUUGUAAACUGCUUUUAUACGAGAAUAAUNUGAUGCACGUGUGCGUUAUUGCAUGUAUCGUAUGAAUAAGGACCGGCUAAUUCCGUGCCAGCAGCCGCGGUAAUACGGAAGGUCCAGGCGUUAUCCGGAUUUAUUGGGUUUAAAGGGAGUGUAGGCGGUUUGUUAAGCGUGUUGUGAAAUUUAGAUGCUCAACAUUUAACUUGCAGCGCGAACUGUCAGACUUGAGUACACGCAACGUAUGCGGAAUUCAUGGUGUAGCGGUGAAAUGCUUAGAUAUCAUGAAGAACUCCGAUUGCGAAGGCAGCAUACGGGAGUGUAACUGACGCUUAAGCUCGAAGGUGCGGGUAUCGAACAGGAUUAGAUACCCUGGUAGUCCGCACAGUAAACGAUGGAUGCCCGCUGUUAGCGCCUGGCGUUAGCGGCUAAGCGAAAGCAUUAAGCAUCCCACCUGGGGAGUACGCCGGCAACGGUG